Erigeron canadensis is the source of this 292-nucleotide long non-coding RNA. RefSeq lists it as uncharacterized. The transcript has 3 exons. NCBI's taxonomy places the organism in Eukaryota, Viridiplantae, Streptophyta, Magnoliopsida, Asterales, Asteraceae. The record is from RefSeq and is a predicted model, not a curated record.
CGGACCCGCAUUUCCACCAUUCAAAAUGGGAAGUGGAAAGCAAAAGAAAAAGAUAAUCCGAGUUAAGGCCACAACAAAAGCCUCUCUGCCUUCCAUAGAAAGUCCACUCCCUGUCCUUAGGAACUUAAGGAAAUCUGAUCUCGGCGCUGUUAUAUUUGGUUGCACGCACAACACAAUCAAUGAAUGCCUUUCCAAACAGUUGUUCGGUUGGCCAGGGACACACUAUUCUCAUGUAAAGAAUAUCAGCAAAGGACUUGUGCUAUUUUUGUUCAAUCACAGUGACCGUAAAUUU